GACGAACGCUGGCGGCGUGCUUAAUACAUGCAAGUCGAACGGAAAGGCCCUGCUUUUGUGGGGUGCUCGAGUGGCGAACGGGUGAGUAACACGUGUGUAACCUGCCCUUGACUUUGGGAUAACUUCAGGAAACUGGGGCUAAUACCGGAUAGGAGCUCCUGCUGCAUGGUGGGGGUUGGUAAGUUUCGGCGGUUGGGGAUGGACUCGCGGCUUAUCAGCUUGUUGGUGAGGUAGUGGCUUACCAAGGCUUCGACGGGUAGCCGGCCUGAGAGGGUGACCGGCCACAAUGGGACUGAGAUACGGCCCAGACUCCUACGGGAGGCAGCAGUGGGGAGUAUUGCAGAAUGGGCGGAAGCCUGAUGCAGCGACGUCGCGAGCGGGAUGACGUCCUACGGGUUAUAAACCGCUUUCGCAUGUGACAAAGCGUGAGUGACGGUAAUGGAUAAAGAAGCACCGGCUAACUACGUG
This 468-nucleotide ribosomal RNA is filed under the name uncultured bacterium. RNAcentral's name for it is "partial 16S ribosomal RNA". It matches the Rfam family "Bacterial small subunit ribosomal RNA", at positions 28 to 507 of the family's 1533-position model. The record is from RNAcentral.